Molecule: ribosomal RNA, 497 nt
Filed under: uncultured bacterium
Lineage: Bacteria
Description: partial 16S ribosomal RNA
Rfam family: Bacterial small subunit ribosomal RNA
Source: RNAcentral
AUUGAACGCUGGCGGCGGGCCUAACACAUGCAAGUCGAACGGAAACACGAAGAGCUUUGUCUCUUUCCGGUAGCGGGGGGCGGGGGUGUGACAUGUGGGUCAACUUCCUUUAUGACGGGGGUUACUUCGUGGAACCGGUACCUAUAACGGCUAAUAUACGCAACCCCAUGGAGCAGGAGUUCAUGGCCGCUUGCCUGGCACUGUGAGCAGAUGGCGGGCCGCAUUAGCUAGUUGGUAAGGUAACGGCUUACCAAGGCCACGAUGCGUAGCUGAGCUGAGAGGGUGAUCGGCCACACUGGAACUGAGACACGGUCCAGACUCCUACGGGAGGCAGCAGUGGGGAAUAUUCGGCAAUGGGCGCAAGCCUGACGGAGCAACGCCGCGUGAGUGAUGAAGGUCUUCGGAUCGUAAAACUCUGUUAUUGGGGAAGAACAGAAGUGUGAGUAACUAUGGACGUUUUGACGGUACCUAAUGAAAAAGCAACGGCUAACUACGUG